UACGAAGGAUGCGAGCGUUAUCCGGAUUUAUUGGGUGUAAAGGGCGUGUAGGCGGGAAUGCAAGUCAGAUGUGAAAACUCAGGGCUCAACCCUGAGCCUGCAUUUGAAACUGUGUUUCUUGAGUGCUGGAGAGGCAAUCGGAAUUCCGUGUGUAGCGGUGAAAUGCGUAGAUAUACGGAGGAACACCAGUGGCGAAGGCGGCCUGCUGGACAAUAACUGACGCUGAGGCGCGAAAGCGUGGGGAGCAAACAGG
This 253-nucleotide ribosomal RNA is filed under the name uncultured Oscillospira sp. Its description in RNAcentral is "partial 16S ribosomal RNA". It matches the Rfam family "Bacterial small subunit ribosomal RNA", at positions 524 to 776 of the family's 1533-position model. Lineage: Bacteria; Bacillati; Bacillota; Clostridia; Eubacteriales; Oscillospiraceae. The record is from RNAcentral.